UACGGAGGGUGCGAGCGUUUGUCCGGAAUCACUGGGCGUAAAGGGCGCGUAGGCGGCGCGGGAAGUCCGUGGUGAAAGCCCGAGGCUCAACUUCGGGUCGGCCAUGGAUACUCCUGGGCUUGAGCACUGUAGAGGCAGGUGGAAUUCCGGGUGUAGCGGUGGAAUGCGUAGAGAUCCGGAAGAACACCGGUGGCGAAGGCGGCCUGCUGGGCAGUUUUGCUGACACUGAGGCGCGACAGCGUGGGGAGCAAACAGGG
This 257-nucleotide ribosomal RNA is filed under the name uncultured bacterium. RNAcentral describes it as "partial 16S ribosomal RNA". It matches the Rfam family "Bacterial small subunit ribosomal RNA", at positions 524 to 777 of the family's 1533-position model. The record is from RNAcentral.